AGUAGGUUCAGUAGAUUCUCAGAAAACAAAUGAGACCCAGCAUUCAUGAUAUGCACGCUCUUAAGGCUGUGCAAUUGGGCAAUUAGUUGAAUUAGUUGAAAGGGGUGUGUUCAAAAAAAUAGCAGUGUGGCAUUCAAUCACUGAGGUCAUCAAUUUUGUGAAGAAACAGGUGUGAAUCAGGUGGCCCCUAUUUAAGGAUGAAGCCAACACUUGUUGAACAUGCAUUUGAAAGCUGAGGAAAAUGGGUCGUUCAAGACAUUGUUCAGAAGAACAGCGUACUUUGAUUAAAAAGUUGAUUAGAGAGGGGAAAACCUAUAAAGAGGUGCAAAAAAUGAUAGGCUGUUCAGCUAAAAUGAUCUCCAAUGCCUUAAAAUGGAGAGCAAAACCAGAGAGACGUGGAAGAAAACGGAAGACAACUACAAAAUGGAUAGAAGAAUAACCAGAAUGGCAAAGGCUCAGCCAAUGAUCACCUCCAGGAUGAUCAAAGACAGUCUGGAGUUACCUGUAAGUACUGUGACAGUUAGAAGACGUCUGUGUGAAGCUAAUCUAUUUUCAAGAAUCCCCCGCAAAGUCCCUCUGUUAAAAAAAAGGCAUGUGCAGAAGAGGUUACAAUUUGCCAAAGAACACAUCAACUGGCCUAAAGAGAAAUGGAGGAACAUUUUGUGGACUGAUGAGAGUAAAAUUGUUCAUUUUGGGUCCAAGGGCCACAGGCAGUUUGUGAGACGACCCCCAAACUCUGAAUUCAAGCCACAGUACACAGUGAAGACAGUGAAGCAUGGAGGUGCAAGCAUCAUGAUAUGGGCAUGUUUCUCCUACUAUGGUGUUGGGCCUAUUUAUCGCAUACCAGGGAUCAUGGAUCAGUUUGCAUAUGUUAAAAUACUUGAAGAGGUCAUGUUGCCCUAUGCUGAAGAGGACAUGCCCUUGAAAUGGUUGUUUCAACAAGACAAUGACCCAAAACACACUAGUAAACGGGCAAAGUCUUGGUUCCAAACCAACAAAAUUAAUGUUAUGGAGUGGCCAGCCCAAUCUCCAGACCUUAAUCCAAUUGAGAACUUGUGGGGUGAUAUCAAAAAUGCUGUUUCUGAAGCAAAACCAAGAAAUGUGAAUGAAUUGUGGAAUGUUGUUAAAGAAUCAUGGAGUGGAAUAACAGCUGAGAGGUGCCACAAGUUGGUUGACUCCAUGCCACACAGAUGUCAAGCAUUUUAAAAAACUGUGGUCAUACAACUAAAUAUUAGUUUAGUGAUUCACAGGAUUGCUAAAUCCCAAAAAAAAAAAAAUGUUUGUACAAAAUAGUUUUGAGUUUGUACAGUCAAAGGUA
Long non-coding RNA from Carassius gibelio (silver crucian carp), 1318 nucleotides. RefSeq lists it as uncharacterized. The record is from RefSeq and is a predicted model, not a curated record. The transcript has 2 exons. Lineage: Eukaryota; Metazoa; Chordata; Actinopteri; Cypriniformes; Cyprinidae.